CUAUAACGGUCCUAAGGUAGCGAAAUUCCUUGUCGGGUAAGUUCCGACCCGCACGAAAGGCGUAACGAUUUGGGCACUGUCUCAACAACAGACUCGGUGAAAUUGUAAUUCCGGUGAAGAUGCCGGAUACCUGCGACAGGACGGAAAGACCCCAUGGAGCUUUACUGUAGCUUGACAUUGGGUCUUGGUACUACAUGUACAGGAGAGGUGGGAGGCUUUGAAACCAGGACGCCAGUUUUGGCGGAGCCAUCCUUGGGAUACCACCCUUGUAGUACUGGGACUCUAACCAUAGGCCAUGAAUCUGGUCUUGGGACACUGUCAGGUGGGCAG
RNAcentral lists this ribosomal RNA (330 nucleotides) under Clostridioides difficile. Its description in RNAcentral is "bacterial LSU rRNA". It matches the Rfam family "Bacterial large subunit ribosomal RNA", at positions 1940 to 2268 of the family's 2925-position model. Lineage: Bacteria; Bacillati; Bacillota; Clostridia; Peptostreptococcales; Peptostreptococcaceae. The record is from RNAcentral.